This 827-nucleotide long non-coding RNA is filed under the name Olea europaea (common olive). RNAcentral describes it as "long non-coding RNA (OEUR_LNC010618)". Lineage: Eukaryota; Viridiplantae; Streptophyta; Magnoliopsida; Lamiales; Oleaceae. The record is from RNAcentral.
AUCAAACCUGCCUCCAACAGGUAUAUGGAGUUCACCGGAGCACGGUCAUUCUGAUCAUGGGAGGUGGAUUUAGUCAUGAUAUAAGCCGAAUGCACAAUAACCCAAUUAAGAAUAUGAGACAGGUACGAGGUCAAGCGAAGAUUCUUUCUCUUCCUGAUUAUAUUAGAUUUGAUAGUAAUCUUGAUUUUGUUGGAGAUUUUCAUGGAUCAUCCCUGUCCAAUUAGACCCAAAGAAACCUGUUAAUCUGUUAUGAAUUCAUCUCGACAUGGACAUAAGUUCAAUUCAACUUAUUACAACUACUGCAUUCCAUGGGGGAAUCAUUUGACUCAUGAGCAGCAACAUCCGCUGUCAAAGCAUUUGCAUUAGCCAAUUGUUCACCUGAUGAUUCUCAUGCUGGGAUCAGAAGAGCCGUAUUCAGCUGAGUCAAAGAAAGCAGUAUCUGCAGCUAGGCGAAGCUUGCUGACUUUGCUCUUGUUGAUCAAAAACGUGCUCAGAGUUAAAAUUUCAGGAUGAAGCAAUUCAUUAUAUUCCUGUGACACCCAUUAUUUCUUCUAUUACUUGUUAGUUUUAAAUUUGAAAAUAUGAUGGAAAAAUAAGUUGUUUUAUGUCAUCUCAAUGGACUUUUUGACAUAAAACUUUUAUCAAAUACAACACAUGUCAACUAAUGAAAAGUUUGAGGGUAAAAAUGACAUGAAAAAUCGUUAAGGACAUAAAUAAUGAAAAAAGGUUAAUAAUCUUAAAUUCAAUUAAAAUGUUGUGCAAGAAAUAAAAAUUGUGGUCCUAUAAUUAACCUAGCAAUUAUUCAGUUCCUUAAAUUUGAUAGAAGC